UACGUAGGGUGCGAGCGUUGUCCGGAAUUAUUGGGCGUAAAGAGCUUGUCGGCGGUUUGUCGCGUCUGCCGUGAAAAUCCGAGGCUCAACCUCGGACUUGCGGUGGGUACGGGCAGACUAGAGUGUGGUAGGGGAGACUGGAAUUCCUGGUGUAGCGGUGAAAUGCGCAGAUAUCCGGAGGAACACCGGUGGCGAAGGCGGCUUCCUGGACCGACACUGACGCUGAGGCGCGAAAGCUAGGGGAGCAAACGGG
This 253-nucleotide ribosomal RNA is filed under the name uncultured bacterium. Its description in RNAcentral is "partial 16S ribosomal RNA". It matches the Rfam family "Bacterial small subunit ribosomal RNA", at positions 524 to 776 of the family's 1533-position model. The record is from RNAcentral.